This is a long non-coding RNA of Homo sapiens (human), 1349 nucleotides long. Ensembl annotates it as TRIM8 divergent transcript. Its record names the gene TRIM8-DT. Lineage: Eukaryota; Metazoa; Chordata; Mammalia; Primates; Hominidae. The record is from Ensembl.
CCUCGCAGGGGCCGGAGCCCGGGGUCUGCGGGGCCAGGAGGCGAGGGCGGCCGCGCCGAGGGCUGCUAGAUCCGGACGGGGCGGGAGGGGCAGGCCGGCGGUCCCCGGGCCACGGUGCAGGCGUCCCCCGGCUGGCUGGCCGGGCGCGGGCUGCGGGGCGCGGGCGGGCCGACUCCGGGGCGCUGCGUGCGCGCAGGGGCAGUCAUUCAGAUGAAAUUCCAGUCCCCGGCCAGAGACACCAGCCCGCCUCUGCCUUCCUCCUCCCUUCACAAAUAGAAACGGAAGGGGGAGGGAGAGAAGUGGAAAAAAAGGCAACCGGCGAGGGAGGGAGGGAGAAGCCCCGGCGGCGCUCCGGCCUGACCCCCGGGCGGCUACUUCUGCGCUCCCCCGAGGCCCGGCGCCCCCGCCGCGGAGAGACCCCGCGCGCCCGUCUCCGCGCUGGGCGGGCGCCCGGGCUCUGCCGAGGAAAACAAGGAUUGAUCAAACUAGAAAGGAAUUUUUCUCAACUGCUAAUGAACAGGAGGCUCGGCUCCCGGCCCUCCCCUCCCCUCCCCCGGCCCUCCCCCUUCGCCCCCCCGGCCCCCUCCUCCCCACUUUCUUUUCUUCUCGGCCUCUGCUGGGGCCUGGAAGGCUCGGGGCUGCGGUCGGAGCCAGCCUGCGGCGGCGGGGCCAGGCCGAGCCGCCACCCUCAGCGCCCAGCCAUCUUGGGCUCCGCGGCGGCGGCCGGGGUCUGGGCGCGCUCGCUGAGGGCCCCGCGGCGUCCUCUCGCUCCUGAUUCUUUUUUUUUUUUUUUUGGUGGGAUUUUUUUUUUUCCAAGGGGAGGGCUGGCGGCCUCCAACAAAUUAGGAGAGAGAGAGGGAGAAAAUGCCAAGUCCCGAUUUCUCUCCACCUCUGCUCCACCCACCCCGGUCCUGUCCAAAAAAUAAAAGAAGAUGAGAAUUGGAAGAAGUCGGCAGAAAGGCGAGAGCCCGCGGUCCCCGGCUGCUGCCCAGGCGACGCGUCCGGGGCGGGCCCGCACCCGUUGCUCGGUCCGAGGUCCGUCUGUCUGCCCGCGGCUUCUCAAGGGAGGGGAGGGCGCUUCGGGCAGGGUCUCCGCAGCCGCUGUCGCCUCAGAGCUUUAUCCUCAGAUCAAAAAAGAAAAAACAGGAAGAAAAAAAUCCCAACCCCAACACUCUCAUCACAGCCACCUUCAGCCAUCUUGCGCGUAUUAUUAUUUCAGGAAUAAUCUGUUUAAUAAAAAUACCUGCGUAUCCAGCCCCUCCCCCGCGUCCUGGGGUCCCCGCCCCCUUUUAAUAAUAAUCUCGAUAAUAAAAACGAUCGGCGGGCCGGGCAGUCCGUGGCGGCCCUUU